GACGAACGCUGGCGGCGUGCUUAACACAUGCAAGUCGAACGCUGAAGGCCCAGCUUGCUGGGUUGGAUGAGUGGCGAACGGGUGAGUAACACGUGAGUAACCUGCCCCCUUCUUUGGGAUAACGGUCGGAAACGGCUGCUAAUACCGGGUAUUCACUGUCCUUCGCAUGGGGGGUGGGGGAAAGGUUUUUUCUGGUGGGGGAUGGGCUCGCGGCCUAUCAGCUUGUUGGUGGGGUGAUGGCUUACCAAGGCUUUGACGGGUAACCGGCCUGAGAGGGUGACCGGUCACAUUGGGACUGAGAUACGGCCCAGACUCCUACGGGAGGCAGCAGUGGGGAAUAUUGCACAAUGGGCGAAAGCCCUGAUGCAGCGACGCCCGCGUGAGGGAUGAACGGGCCCUUUCGGGGUUGUAAAACCCUUCUUUUCGCUUCAAUGGU
Molecule: ribosomal RNA, 436 nt
Filed under: Actinomyces sp. oral taxon 181
Lineage: Bacteria; Bacillati; Actinomycetota; Actinomycetes; Actinomycetales; Actinomycetaceae
Description: bacterial SSU rRNA
Rfam family: Bacterial small subunit ribosomal RNA
Source: RNAcentral